GCUACACUGAGGCUUGCCAGGAGAAGGAGAAGCUCACCAAUAUUAUUGAAUCAAUGCAGAGAACCAGUGAUGGCAAGCUAGCAGCAAUUCAACAGCUGCGAGAAGCACAGGGUCCUGCACUGCCGUCACAAGCAGGUGAACUUCGUUGUGUUCAAUGGCUGCCAGAACCAAGGAGCCCUAGGGUGAUGUCAGGAGCA
Long non-coding RNA from Ixodes scapularis (black-legged tick), 197 nucleotides. RefSeq lists it as uncharacterized. The transcript has 3 exons. The record is from RefSeq and is a predicted model, not a curated record. Lineage: Eukaryota; Metazoa; Arthropoda; Arachnida; Ixodida; Ixodidae.